This 465-nucleotide ribosomal RNA is filed under the name uncultured bacterium. Its description in RNAcentral is "partial 16S ribosomal RNA". It matches the Rfam family "Bacterial small subunit ribosomal RNA", at positions 28 to 507 of the family's 1533-position model. The record is from RNAcentral.
GACGAACGCUGGCGGCGUGCUUAACACAUGCCAGUCGAACGGAAAGGCCCUGCUUGCAGGGUACUCGAGUGGCGAACGGGUGAGUAACACGUGGGUGAUCUGCCCUGCACUUCGGGAUAAGCCUGGGAAACUGGGUCUAAUACCGGAUAGGAGCCAUUUUUAGUGUGAUGGUUGGAAAGUUUUUUCGGUGUAGGAUGAGCUCGCGGCCUAUCAGCUUGUUGGUGGGGUAAUGGCCUACCAAGGCGGCGACGGGUAGCCGGCCUGAGAGGGUGGACGGCCACAUUGGGACUGAGAUACGGCCCAGACUCCUACGGGAGGCAGCAGUGGGGAAUAUUGCACAAUGGGCGCAAGCCUGAUGCAGCGACGCCGCGUGGGGGAUGACGGCCUUCGGGUUGUAAACUCCUUUCGCUAGGGACGAAGCUUUUUGUGACAGUACCUAGAUAAGAAGCACCGGCUAACUACGUG